GGACCUAUGGGGCACCCUGAAACCACCAACACGUCCAAGAAUCUAUGGGGUACCCCAAAACUGCCAACACAUUGAUGGACCUAUGGGGAGCCCCGAAACCAACCACGGACCUAUGGGGCACCCCGAAACCGCCAACUUCUCCACGGACCUGUGGGGCACCCCAAAACCACCAACACAUCCAAGAAUCUAUGGGGCACCCCAAAACCACCACACAUUGAUGGACCUAUGGGGAACCCCGAAACCAACCACGGACCUAUGGGGCACCCCGAAACCACCAACUUCUCUAUGGACCUAUGGGGCACCCCAGAACCACCAACUUCUCCAUGGACCUAUGGGGCACCCCGAAACCACCACACUUUGAUGGACCUAUGGGGAGCCCCGAAAGCAACCACGGACCUAUGGGGCACCCCGAAACCGCCAACUUCUCUAUGGACCUAUGGGGCACCCCAAAACCACCAACUUCUCCAUGGACCUAUGGGGCACCCCAAAACCACCAACACGUCCAAGGACCUAUGGGGUACCCCAAAACCGCCAACUUCUCCAUGGACUUAAGGGGCACCCUGAAACCGCCAACACAUUGAUGGACCUAUGGGGUGCCCCAAAACCAACCAUGGCCCUAUGGGGCACCCCGAAACUGCCAACUUCUCUAUGGAGCUAUGAGGAACCCCCAAACCACCAACUUCUCCAUGGACCUAUGGGGCACCCCAAAACCACCAACCCAUCCAAGAAUCUAUGGGGUACCCCAAAACCACCACACAUUGAUGGAUCUAUGGGAGCCCCGAAACCAACCGCGGACCUAUGGGGCACCCCAAAACCACCAACGUGUCCAAGGACCUAUGGGGCACCCCAAAACCACCACACUUUGAUGGACCUAUGGGGUACCCCAAAACCACCACACAUUGAUGGACCUAUGGGGAGCCCCGAAACAAACCAUGGCCCUAUGGGGCACCCCGAAACUGCCAACUUCUCUAUGGAGCUAUG
Molecule: long non-coding RNA, 981 nt
Filed under: Anser brachyrhynchus (Pink-footed goose)
Lineage: Eukaryota; Metazoa; Chordata; Aves; Anseriformes; Anatidae
Description: lncRNA (ENSABRG00000009321.1)
Source: RNAcentral